Molecule: ribosomal RNA, 435 nt
Filed under: uncultured bacterium
Lineage: Bacteria
Description: partial 16S ribosomal RNA
Rfam family: Bacterial small subunit ribosomal RNA
Source: RNAcentral
AACGAACGCUGGCGGCAUGCCUAACACAUGCGAGUCGAACGAUUGCCUUCGGGUGAUAGUGGCGCACGGGUGCGUAACGCGUGGGAAUCUGCCCUUAGGUUCGGAAUAACAGCUGGAAACGGCUGCUAAUACCGGAUGAUAUCGCGAGAUCAAAGAUUUAUCGCCUGAGGAUGAGCCCGCGUUGGAUUAGGUAGUUGGUGGGGUGAAGGCCUACCAAGCCGACGAUCCAUAGCUGGUCUGAGAGGAUGAUCAGCCACACUGGGACUGAGACACGGCCCAGACUCCUACGGGAGGCAGCAGUGGGGAAUAUUGGACAAUGGGCGCAAGCCUGAUCCAGCAAUGCCGCGUGAGUGAUGAAGGCCCUAGGGUUGUAAAGCUCUUUUACCCGGGAAGAUAAUGACUGUACCGGGAGAAUAAGCCCCGGCUAACUCCGUG